AACGUAGGUCACAAGCGUUGUCCGGAAUUACUGGGUGUAAAGGGAGCGCAGGCGGGGAGACAAGUUGGGAGUGAAAUCUAUGGGCUCAACCCAUAAAUUGCUUUCAAAACUGUUUUUCUUGAGUAGUGCAGAGGUAGGCGGAAUUCCCGGUGUAGCGGUGGAAUGCGUAGAUAUCGGGAGGAACACCAGUGGCGAAGGCGGCCUACUGGGCACCAACUGACGCUGAGGCUCGAAAGUAUGGGUAGCAAACAGG
Molecule: ribosomal RNA, 253 nt
Filed under: uncultured prokaryote
Description: partial 16S ribosomal RNA
Rfam family: Bacterial small subunit ribosomal RNA
Source: RNAcentral